AGCUCCAAUAGCGUAUAUUAAAGUUGUUGCGGUUAAAAAGCUCGUAGUUGGAUUUCUGCUGAAGCAAACCGGUCCGCCCUCUGGGUGAGCAUCUGGUUUUGUUUUGGCAUAUGCUUAGACUUUGCAGCUGCACUUGACUGUGUGGUGUGAAGGCUGAGCCUUUUACUUUGAGGAAAUCAGAGUGUUUCAAGCAGGCCAUUGCCUUGAAUACACUAGCAUGGAAUAAUAUGAUAUGACUGUGGUUUUAUUUUGUUGGCUUUUAGAAUUAGAGUAAUGGUUAAUAGGGAUAGUUGGGGGCAUUCAUAUUUAACUGUCAGAGGUGAAAUUCUUGGAUUUGUUAAGGAUGAACGACUGCGAAAGCAUUUGCCAAGGAUGCUUUCA
This 381-nucleotide ribosomal RNA is filed under the name uncultured eukaryote. Its description in RNAcentral is "SSU rRNA". It matches the Rfam family "Eukaryotic small subunit ribosomal RNA", at positions 587 to 972 of the family's 1831-position model. The record is from RNAcentral.